CCUACGGGUGGCUGCAGUGGGGAAUAUUGGACAAUGGGCGAAAGCCUGAUCCAGCCAUGCCGCGUGUGUGAAGAAGGCCUUCGGGUUGUAAAGCACUUUCAGUGGGGAAGAAAGCCUUGGGGCUAAUACCCUCGAGGAAGGACAUCACCCACAGAAGAAGCACCGGCUAACUCCGUGCCAGCAGCCGCGGUAAUACGGAGGGUGCGAGCGUUAAUCGGAAUUACUGGGCGUAAAGCGCGCGUAGGCGGUCUGAUAAGCCGGUUGUGAAAGCCCCGGGCUCAACCUGGGAACGGCAUCCGGAACUGUCAGGCUAGAGUGCAGGGGAGGAAGGUAGAAUUCCCGGUGUAGCGGUGAAAUGCGUAGAGAUCGGGAGGAAUACCAGUGGCGAAGGCGGCCUUCUGGACUGACACUGACGCUGAGGUGCGAAAGCGUGGGUAGCAAACAGGAUUAGAUACCCCAGUAGUC
RNAcentral lists this ribosomal RNA (465 nucleotides) under Vreelandella stevensii. RNAcentral's name for it is "partial 16S ribosomal RNA". It matches the Rfam family "Bacterial small subunit ribosomal RNA", at positions 338 to 795 of the family's 1533-position model. The record is from RNAcentral. Lineage: Bacteria; Pseudomonadati; Pseudomonadota; Gammaproteobacteria; Oceanospirillales; Halomonadaceae.